UUUAGUACAGACGAGGUUUCACCACGUUGGCCAGGCUAGUCUCGAACUCCUGACCUCAGGUGAUCUGCCCGCCUUGGCCUCCCAAAGUGCUGGGAUUACAGGCGUGAGCCACCCAGUCUGGCGUGUAACGUUUCUUUGGCCUCCUCUACUGUGGAGUAAUUUCUCAACCUUUCAUGGACUUUCAUGACUACGUUAGCUUUCUAUGCUGCAUAACAAAUUACCACAAACUUACCAACUUGAAACACACACACACACACACACACACACACGGACACACACACACAUAUUUAUUAUCUGUUUCCGGGGAUCAGGAGUCUAGGCAUGUCUUAGCUUGCUUCUCUGCUUCAGAGUUUCAUCAGGAGGCAAUCCACAGGUCAGCCAGUGCUGCGGUUUCACCAGAGGCUUGACGGGAAAGAUCUGCUUCUAAGCUCCCUUAGGUUGUUGGCAAAAUGUAUUUCUUUGAUGCUGUAAGACUGAGGCUUCAGUUUCUUGCUGGAGAUCACUCUCAGCUACUAGAGGCUGCCUGCAGUUCAUUGUCAUGUGAACCUCUCCAACAUGACCACUUAACUUUAUGGCAAUUCACAUCUUCAAGGACAGUGAGGUGGAGUCUUUCUAGCAUCUCUGCUAGCAAGAGGGAAUCUUAAAUAUGCCAUAAUGUAAUGAUGGGACUGAUAUCCCAUCAACUUUCCCAUAUCUUACUGGUUAAAAGUAAGUAAUUAAAAGUUUGUUAAAAGUGGGUAGGUUCUGCCCAACUCAAGGGAAGGGAUUAUUGGUGUUCCUAGCGGUCUGUCUUCCACUAUUUGUCACUUUUGAAGAUUAUUCCUUUGUGGAAUGUUCCUCAGUUUGUGUUUUUGUGGAAUGUUUUAAAAUUUGGGUUUGUCUGUUGUUUCCUCAUGAUUAUAAUCGAGAAUCUUUUCCGAGAAUAUCACAGAAAUAAUGUAUUAUUAUCAUCACAUCAUAUCUAGUGGCUCAUGAUUUCAAUUUGCCCUAUUAGUUGUGUUCAUUUUGAUCAUUUGAAUUAAGUAUCUGCCAGGACUUCUGUAAAGUUAUAAUUUUCCUUUUUGUAAUUAAUAAAUGUUUUUGUGAAGAGGUACUUUAAAACCAUGUAAAUUUCCCGUUCCUCAUCACAGCUUUUAUUUAUCUGUUUAUAUAUUCAGCAUGGACUCAUGGUUUCUUUUUAAAUUCAAGAUUAUAUGUAUUACCGUAAUUAUUUUAAUGUUCAAAUUAUCCCUAAUUUAUCCAGUGGAAGUCCCUUUAGGAUGGAUUAUGUGUACUUUUGACACAGUUCUAUAAUUCUUUGAGCACUUCCUUACUUCCUGGAGCAAUAAGAUUCACCAGGCUCACGUACUUUCUCCUUGCCCAAUCCUGAAAUCACUCAUUAUGCCGAGAGUCCUGACCAGCAGAGAAAGGUAUUUAGAAGCCAAGUUUUGGAGACCAGUUGUUCUCAUUGCAGUCUUACUACUCUGAAGCCCUUUUGGUGGACAGAGGGAGAAGAGAACAAAAGUUACAAAGGAUAAACAGUCGUCUUAAUAGUAUUCAGCUCCAAGAAAGAAAAGAUGCAAGGAAUACGCUGAGAUGAAGUUUGGAUUGAAUUCUACGUUUGUAAAAUGAUAAUAUGCUUUUUGCUAGAAAACAACAAAGCUCUUUAAGAAAAUUAGUAAUUGGGGGUCUUUAAGUAUUCAGAAGUGUGAGAACUGUGAUGCUUGAUGGUGAUGCAUACUGCAGAAUUCUCUGUGGGUUAUAAAGCCAAUUUCUUCAAGAGGCACUGCAGCUGAAGGCUGCCAAGGGAAAAAUAUAUUUGAGAUUUAAGGUGGAUCUUUUGUUCAAAAGUGUACAAAAAAGUAAAAAAUUUAAGAAACAGGCAAA
This 1866-nucleotide long non-coding RNA is filed under the name Homo sapiens (human). Its description in RNAcentral is "HSALNT0147787". The record is from RNAcentral. Lineage: Eukaryota; Metazoa; Chordata; Mammalia; Primates; Hominidae.